UCUAUCAAUGAUUUGAGAUGAGGAAGAAGACAUCAACCAAGUAAUUAAGCUCAAUUCCAAGUAUUGAAAAAAAUCAUCAAAAUAAAUUAAAAUUCAAUUAAUAAUGAUGUAGUAUUUAUUAAAUAAAGAAAAUAAAAUGAAAUUUGUUAAAGAGGGGUCAAAGUAUCAAACAAAUGUCCAACAAAAAUAGGGGAGGUCAACAAAAAUAUGAGAAGUUUGAC
RNAcentral lists this long non-coding RNA (221 nucleotides) under Lathyrus oleraceus (garden pea). RNAcentral describes it as "Pisum sativum (pea) long non-coding RNA (PSAT_LNC000869)". The record is from RNAcentral. Lineage: Eukaryota; Viridiplantae; Streptophyta; Magnoliopsida; Fabales; Fabaceae.